UUUCUUAUGAUCACUGAAGUUAAGCAAAGUCGAGCCUAGUCAGUACCUAAAUGGGUGACCACUUGAGAAUACCAGGUGCUGUAA
Acanthosepion pharaonis is the source of this 84-nucleotide non-coding RNA. The record is from the annotation of a GenBank genome assembly. NCBI's taxonomy places the organism in Eukaryota, Metazoa, Mollusca, Cephalopoda, Sepiida, Sepiidae.